AAAUUGAAGAGUUUGAUCAUGGCUCAGAUUGAACGCUGGCGGCAGGCCUAACACAUGCAAGUCGAACGGUAACAGGAAGCAGCUUGCUGCUUCGCUGACGAGUGGCGGACGGGUGAGUAAUGUCUGGGAAACUGCCUGAUGGAGGGGGAUAACUACUGGAAACGGUGGCUAAUACCGCAUAACGUCGCAAGACCAAAGAGGGGGACCUUAGGGCCUCUUGCCAUCAGAUGUGCCCAGAUGGGAUUAGCU
RNAcentral lists this ribosomal RNA (249 nucleotides) under Salmonella enterica. Its description in RNAcentral is "partial 16S ribosomal RNA". It matches the Rfam family "Bacterial small subunit ribosomal RNA", at positions 1 to 246 of the family's 1533-position model. Lineage: Bacteria; Pseudomonadati; Pseudomonadota; Gammaproteobacteria; Enterobacterales; Enterobacteriaceae. RNAcentral also lists the same sequence under 1 other name. The record is from RNAcentral.